RNAcentral lists this long non-coding RNA (1044 nucleotides) under Apteryx haastii (Great spotted kiwi). RNAcentral describes it as "lncRNA (ENSAHAG00000017901.1)". The record is from RNAcentral. Lineage: Eukaryota; Metazoa; Chordata; Aves; Apterygiformes; Apterygidae.
AUGGACGCCRGUCUUUCCCGAGGCGGAGCCACCACCAACCCUCGAGCCCUCCCGCAUCCCUCUCCCGCCCGGCAAAGCCGGAGCGCCCCGGCGAGUGCCCUGCUCAUCCCCGGCCGCCCUCCCCUCUCCCGCCUCGUUACCCCGGCAGUUGUUAUUAAUUUUCCUUGCGUUGCCAGGCAUGGCCCAAGCCGGCAACGAGUCGGAGCAGGGCAAGGCAUGAAUCACCCGAGCGGCCCGCGGCGCCGCGGCUCCUCUCCCACCGCUGGAAUCCGCGUCUGCCCCGCCGCGGGAGGAGACUUUCGCUCCUUCGCCGCGGCACCUCCCCGUCUCAGCUUCGCUGCCAGCGAAACAGCGCUCACCCCCCUCGGCAGGGCCCGCGGAGGGCUGCGGGGCGCCCGUCCCGCGGCAGAGCCCGUCCCGCCGGGUGCGCGCAGCCCCGGCACGCGCGGGUGUCCCGCGAUCCCGCAGCUCCUUCACCCCGUGGAGCCGGGCGGACGCGCGGCUAGGGACGCGCUCGCCCUCUCCUCGCAAAGCUGCUGCCGCGGCGCGGGACACCCCCGGGGAUCCUCACCUGCGGGGCGCCCGUCCGUCUGUCCGUCCGUCCGUCUGUCCGUGCGCGGGGCCGGUGCUGCCGGCGGCGUCUCCCUGCCGCGGCGAGCGCAUCGCCCGGUGCCGCGCGAUUCACCCCUGGGCUCUCGCAGCGAGGAGGAGAUUCCCAUCGGGAACCGUUCCCGGGGAGGGACCGGGUUUGCGGCAGGGCCCCGCGUGCCCCAUUGGCUGCCGGGUUUCCCGGGGCGAAGGGCGGCCGUGGCGCCCUCCUCCACGCCGGCUGGGGCCCGGGAGCCCUCCGGGAGCCAAGGCGCCACCUGGGAGCGAGGAUUUUGGGGGCGGCUCCGGAGCAGCACGGAGCGGGCGCCGGGGACGAGGCUGGGAAACCGUCCCCGCGAGCAGGCGAUGCCGCUGGGGCGGGGAGCCCAGGUAGGACUGAAACCGCCCGAGGAGCGAACGCGGGUUUCAUUUGCAAUUCCACUGGGUUUUUUUWAA